RNAcentral lists this non-coding RNA (177 nucleotides) under Anaerolineales bacterium. RNAcentral's name for it is "6S RNA". It matches the Rfam family "6S / SsrS RNA". From Rfam's summary of the family: E. coli 6S RNA was the first non coding RNA to be sequenced, but its function was unknown until recently. It consists of 184 nucleotides that fold into an extended hairpin structure with a large single-stranded internal bulge. The 6S RNA specifically associates with RNA polymerase holoenzyme containing the sigma70 specificity factor. Lineage: Bacteria; Bacillati; Chloroflexota; Anaerolineae; Anaerolineales. The record is from RNAcentral.
AUUGCCCUUCUGUGUUCGUGAUAUUGCCUUCACGUUCUGAGCCAAUAACUAAUACAAGGGUCCUUAACUUAAUAGGAAUAACGCGAUAGGCCUGAGCCAAGGCGGCGUUUCUAGGUAGGGACCCACCUGCACUUGCAGGUUCAAAACCUGGUGAUACACGGCACAUGCGGGGCACUU